GAGUUUGAUCGUGGCUCAGGACGAACGCUGGCGGCGUGCCUAAUACAUGCAAGUCGAGCGAGUCUGCCUUGAAGAUCGGAGUGCUUGCACUCUGUGAAACAAGAUACAGGCUAGCGGCGGGCCGGGGUGAGUAACACGUGGGUAACCUGCCCAAGAGAUCGGGAUAACACCUGGAAACAGAUGCUAAUACCGGAUAACAACAGAUGAUGCCUAUCAACUGUUUAAAAGAUGGUUCUGCUAUCACUCUUGGAUGGACCUGCGGUGCAUUAGCUAGUUGGUAGGGUAACGGCCUACCAAGGCGAUGAUGCACAGCCGAGUUGAGAGACUGAUCGGCCACAUUGGGACUGAGACACGGCCCAAACUCCUACGGGAGGCAGCAGUAGGGAAUCUUCCACAAUGGACGCAAGUCUGAUGGAGCAACGCCGCGUGAGUGAAGAAGGGUUUCGGCUCGUAAAGCUCUGUUGUUGGUGAAGAAGGACAGGGGUAGUAAC
RNAcentral lists this ribosomal RNA (491 nucleotides) under uncultured microorganism. RNAcentral's name for it is "bacterial SSU rRNA". It matches the Rfam family "Bacterial small subunit ribosomal RNA", at positions 9 to 465 of the family's 1533-position model. The record is from RNAcentral.